AAACAUUCAAUUUAAAUUUCAUGCUUUCAUGAAAUGCAACACAUCACAAACAAAUCACAUCAAGGAUGGACUUAUCACCAAUAGUCCUCUACAUAGUCCAAUCGUGCCAGGGGCGUAGAAUGGGCCUCACUGGUCUUUCUCUUAACAUAACAUAACAUAGCAUAACAUUCCAUAGUGCCAGGGGCAUAGAAUGGGCCUCACUGGUCUUUCUCUUAACAUAGUGUCAGGGGCGUAGAAUGGGCCUCACUA
Molecule: long non-coding RNA, 249 nt
Filed under: Manihot esculenta (cassava)
Lineage: Eukaryota; Viridiplantae; Streptophyta; Magnoliopsida; Malpighiales; Euphorbiaceae
Description: long non-coding RNA (MESC_LNC006544)
Source: RNAcentral